RNAcentral lists this transfer RNA (66 nucleotides) under Chandozhinskia hastaticercus. RNAcentral describes it as "tRNA-Thr". It matches the Rfam family "tRNA". From Rfam's summary of the family: Transfer RNA (tRNA) molecules are approximately 80 nucleotides in length. Their secondary structure includes four short double-helical elements and three loops (D, anti-codon, and T loops). Lineage: Eukaryota; Metazoa; Arthropoda; Insecta; Orthoptera; Tettigoniidae. The record is from RNAcentral.
GUUUUAGUAGUUUAAAUAAAAACACUGGUCUUGUAAACCAAUAUUAAGUAUAUUACUUCUAAAACU